This 468-nucleotide ribosomal RNA is filed under the name uncultured bacterium. Its description in RNAcentral is "partial 16S ribosomal RNA". It matches the Rfam family "Bacterial small subunit ribosomal RNA", at positions 28 to 507 of the family's 1533-position model. The record is from RNAcentral.
GACGAACGCUGGCGGCGUGCUUAACACAUGCAAGUCGAACGGAAAGGCCCGGCUUUUGUGGGGUGCUUGAGUGGCGAACGGGUGAGUAAAACGUGAGUAACCUGCCCCUGUCUUUGGGAUAACUUCAGGAAAAUGGGGCUAAUACCGGAUAGGAGCUCCUGCUGCAUGGUGGGGGAUGGAAAGUUUCGGUGGUUGGGGAUGGAAUAGCGGCUUAUCAGCUUGUUGGUGGGGUAGUGGAGGCCAAAGGCUUUGACGGGUAGCCGGCCUUGGAGGGUGACCGGCCACCUUGGGACUACGGUACGGCCCAGUCUCCUACGGUCGGCAGCGGUGGGGAAUCUUGCACAAUGGGCGGAAGCCUGAUGCAGCAACGCCGCGUUCGUGAUGACGGCCUUCGGGUUGUAAACCGCUUUCGCCUGUGACGAAGCGUGAGUGACGGUAAUGGGUAAAGAAGCACCGGCUAACUACGUG